Molecule: long non-coding RNA, 467 nt
Organism: Varanus komodoensis (Komodo dragon)
Lineage: Eukaryota; Metazoa; Chordata; Lepidosauria; Squamata; Varanidae
Exons: 2
Source: RefSeq, a predicted model, not a curated record
GUUGGAAGAACGGGGUGGCUUCUCAUCUUAUAACAACAGCGGAAUGUAGCCGGGUUGAAAUGCAGAACUCAAACUUUCCAUUUUGCACGGGAAGGGGGGCGCCUCCAAAGCGUGGCCCGGCCGCGGAGCCCUCGCUUUCCCCCGCCCGAAAGCAGGCGGCGGUUCCGACUGUAUCUCUUGGGCCGGGAGGAAAAUGCAACUCUGCGCGAGAAGGCGCAAGCCCGGUCAGGGCAACUGCUGCUUUCUCGAGACCUGGCACAUUCAUGACAAAACACCACCUGAAAGAAUGGACAGCAGCCCUCCCCUAAACAGCGCCACCCCCAAGCCCCAACUCACAACAAAGAGUUCAGAAAGAAAGAGAGACCUCGGGAGCACUUCAGAUCCUGCACUUCGAAGUUUUGCAGCAUUCCCCUUCUAAAUAAUACUACUACUUUUUAAAAAAUUAAAGAAAAGUCAUGGAAACAGCC